This 252-nucleotide ribosomal RNA is filed under the name uncultured bacterium. RNAcentral describes it as "partial 16S ribosomal RNA". It matches the Rfam family "Bacterial small subunit ribosomal RNA", at positions 524 to 776 of the family's 1533-position model. The record is from RNAcentral.
UACGUAGGUGGCAAGCGUUGUCCGGAAUUAUUGGGCGUAAAGCGCACGCAGGCGGUUGUGUAAGUCUGAUGUUAAAGCCCGGGGCUCAACCUCGGUUCGCAUUGGAAACUGUGUAACUUGAGUGCAGAAGAGGAAAGUGGUAUUCCACGUGUAGCGGUGAAAUGCGUAGAUAUGUGGAGGAACACCCGUGGCGAAGGCGACUUUCUGGUCUGUAACUGACGCUGAGGCGCGAAAGCGUGGGGAGCAAACAGG